This 4114-nucleotide small RNA is filed under the name Rattus norvegicus (Norway rat). RNAcentral describes it as "uncharacterized LOC102553702". Lineage: Eukaryota; Metazoa; Chordata; Mammalia; Rodentia; Muridae. The record is from RNAcentral.
CUGACUUUUCAAAGAACACUUAAGUCUCCUCUUCAGUGUCCUCUAGAGUCAUAGAGCUUAUGGAAUGAAUAAGAUAGACAGACAGACAGACGGGCAGACAGACAGACAGACAGACAGACAGACAGACAGAAGGGGCUAUAGUCCAACUAAUUCAACAAUGGCCAGCCAUGAACGGGAAAUAAAUUAUCUUGUUCUUAUGUUGUCAAGUAAUACCUCUACGACACAGAUUCUCCAGGUAGGGCUGACAUGGCUUAGCAGGCAAGAGCAAAGGACCCAGAUUCAGCUUCCAGCACCCACACAGCAGCUCGCAACCAUCUAUAACUCUAAUUCUUUGGGAUUCAACACCGUCUUCUGGCCUUGGCAAGUUAUGCACAAGCAUACGUUCAGACAAAAACAUCCAUACACAUAAAAUAAAAGUAAGAAGAAAAACCUUUAAGAUUCUACAGACACUCAAACUGGUUGACUAGUACUUCCUGAUUGUGGGGAGUUGGAAUGUUGUAGAUCCUCAGCCAGUAUUACCUUUAGUCCCCCUCAGCACCAUUUAUCAUCUACCCUAGUAUCUGCUUUAAUAUCCAUCCACUUGACUGUUAGCUAUAAGUAUAUAAAGAUGGACACUCACUGGGAUUUCUAGAUUCUUAUGUCCCUGAACAAAUGUGAGGACAGAGAUGUAGAUGGCAACAUGGGCAUGAGAUGACAAAGAGAGUUUAUUGACAUUCAUUGGAAAAGAGAAAAGCCAAAUCCCAGAGAGAGAGAUGACACCAUUAAGAGGAAGCAGGACCAUGAAAGUCAAGAAAAUACUUUAUCUUAUGGGCCAUUUGCUCAAAGAUUCAUAUCUAGAUAGGCAGGUAUCUCACUAUCUCAUUAAGUAGUAAAUAGUAUACUACAUGUCUUUUUGACACUAGCCAUGUAGUCAGGGUGCCACAGGUCCUCGGUAGCUAUGCUCCAGAUGCUUGUAUACAGUAAGUCAUGACCUAGUUGAUAAAGUGUGGAAAUUUUGUUUUCAUUCCUGAUCUGUCUCUACAAAAACAUUCCACUAGUCAAGACAAGUCAUGUGGCAAAGCCAGCAUCAAUGGAUCAGGAAUACACCAUCUCUCAUAAUGUCAACAAGGCCACAUGACAGAAUAUUGGAGAUAUAACAUAAUUGGUAGCCAAUCAGGACACGGGGAGGAAAUCAGGACCAGCCAAGCUAACCAGAUGUAGCACUUCACAGCUUGAAUGUGUCACUCAAGCCUGUUGAUUCUGCUCACAUGACGUGUCAGAAUCCCAGACAGUACGUAAGUCUAAUUUUUACUAAUCCCAGACUAUGGCUCCAUUUCCACAAAAUGGACAGGUCAUUUCUGUCUAGAAAGGUCUAGAAAUAUAAAGAAAUCAAAACCCCCUAUUUUAUCUGACCUCUUCCUCAGAGGCAGAAUAUCUUUACUCUAGUCAUUUCCUGUUGCCUCCCUUAGAAAAACAAUUGCUAUUGGUUAUUGUGACAAGUGUUUUAAAAAUUGAAUUGUGUUCAUCUGGUUUAAGAUUUGACUAAUGAGUUUGGAAUCUCACUUUGAGCUAACAUUGUCCAGGCACUUUAAAAAGUCACCUAGAUAACAGAUUGCCUAACAUAAAGAGCUGUGUUUGGUUUCAAGGUAAUUCUAGUUCAUCUGGUGGUUUAUUAGCUGUGAUCAAAUCUGGCUGAAAGUGUCCAGAAGGACAGAGAAAGGGCGGAAAAUCAAAGACCUCACCUUGCCUACAUCUACACAGCCAAGACUGCCACAAAACAAGAGACAGAGUCUGCAUUAAAGCAGACACAAGAUAUAGACAUAAGUUGCCUGUUCUGCACCCAUGGAACUUCCUGGACGUCCAUUCGCUUUCUGACCUUUCCUGCCCAUGCUUCAGACGGAGCAACCCAUUCUUCAUGGCCUUCCAGGCUGUCACGUCUGUUGUUCGCCGUCCGUGGACACCAAAGUGGAGAGCUGGCUCUCCUUGAAACAGCUUGAGAAAAAUUCCAAUGUGGCUCCCGGUUCUGACCUCCCGAGGACUUUCGGACAGAGCAAAUACAUCUCUGCAAAGUCAGAUGUUUAAGGCGAAGGCUAAAACGAAGUCCGAGCUUUUACUUUAGACUUUGCCCGUCAGCCUGCCGUCUUCCCAGGCUUACUUCCCGCCUCCCCUCUGUCUUAACCAGAUCACACCAGGCUCUCUCGGUUCCUGCUGCUUUCCCGAAUCCUCAUCCCUGAAGUCUCAGCGCACCUGUCCUGUCACCUCCAUGAAACUCCUGCAUCACCCUGUUUGGACGUAAUCUGAGCUCGCUGGGCUCUUCCUACCUCACGGGGCUUUUCUUCUGCUCUUGUGAUGGUCCGUGUGUGAAGCAAGACCCAUACGAAAAGGAUCCUGUGUAGGAGGCUUGGCCGUGGUUGAGGGCGCCGUUGAAGAUGAUUGAAUGUUAAGUGUGUUAACCUCUCCUGGCUUUUAGAUGAGGCCUAUAGGUUGCCGGGAGCAUCAAUUUGGAAGGUAUCUUUUUUUUUCUUUUAACUUUUUAUUGAUUUUUUUAUGAGUUUUACAUUAUGCACCCCAGUUCUUCUCAGCCCCCUGUCCCUUCAUAUCCACCCUUCGUCCUUGCAACCCCCCCCAAAAAAUAAAAAAUGCACAAAUAAGCAAACAACAACAACAAAAAAUAAGCAAAAAAAACCCAAAGCACAGAAAGCCUCUCAUCACGGAAGCUGGAGGGUGUCCCAGAAUAUAUAUCCCUCUGUUCGUUGCGCUGAGUCAUUGUUCUGGUUAGAGAUCUCUGGCUUCUGUGACACCAUCAAUAUUGGAUCCUCACCGGGCCUCCUCCCAGUUAUCCUGUGUUGGCCUGUGUCAUAGAGAUCUGGCAGCUUUGGAUCAGCAGUCCUGGCCUUUGCAUGUGUCCCAACCAUCCAUAGAUAACGGAUUUUUGGAGUCGGCUUCGCUGUGCUGCCCAGUCAAGGUGUGAGGCCCACUCUCCCUAGUGCUUCACCCAGUGAGAGAAAGAGCCAACUCACCCUUCCUCAUGAUCCCAGCCCAUGCCACCUCAUGGCAGACGAGGGCCAGCUCUCCUUCACUUUUUCCCAGCUCACCUGAGCCACCUCCACUAGGGUGAGCUCUACUGUGCUGCACAGGUGAGGUGUAGGGCCAGCUCACCCACUCUCAUGACCCCAGGGUCAGCUCUCCUAUACUCAUGGGGAGGGGUAUUGACUCACACCUCCAUCACCAGGGUCAGCUGUGUUGUCUGGGUGAGGUGCAGGGCCCAGUGCCACCUGUGACAGGUAGGCCCAACUCUCCAGAGCACAACAGCCAGUGAGAAGCAGGGCCAGCUCUGCAUGGGUCCACCUGGACGUCCACCUGGGCCACAGCAGCUGCCCCAACCGGGGAUGUCCCUAUGUUCCCUAGUGGUAAUAUGAACCACGGACAUCAACACCAACUUCUGCUUCUGUGUAGCCCCAGACCCAGACAUGGCCCUCAGUGGCAACUCAGGCUGGGGCCUCAUCAUGACCCCAGGUGGUAGGACUGGCCACUUACAACGGGCUGCUCCUCUCUCCCCUCGAGUCUCCAUUUUCCUUCCUCUUCCACCUGUCCACCACAUAUUGCACAUUGUGGUGGCUCCCACUGCAGGCUGACCACAAAGCUGACUCCCUGUGGUGAGCCCCCGGGUGACAUCCUCUGGCAAGCAGGUAUCUACAGCUCUCUGUGCCAUGUACUGGAGGGUAGGUCUGUGGGUGGCAUGGCCGUCAGCAGGUCUCUGUCUGUCUUCCUCCUCCCAUGCUGCACUGCCUGGAUUUGACUUGAUAUUUUUUAUAUGUCCUAGGCAUAAAACAGCUUUGGCCACCUUCCUUGAAAUCAAACUAUACUAAACAAAGAACUGCCAUCCACUCUGCCCCUAACAACACUACUGACAAGUGUUCUGCCUCGCUCCGGUCCCACCACGAUGGAGUCAGCCUUCAAUAAACAAAAACCUUCAAGUCAUGGGCCCAAAUACAUCUCUCCCCCACCCCACGACGGCAUCCAUCUCAGAUGCUUUCAGGAGUGAUGUAAAGUGACCAACUCGCUGUCUUAUUCUACAGGCUCUCAUAAAACCCGUCUCCCGGACCGACAAUAAAUUAUCUGUAGUAAGACCUCG